Molecule: unclassified non-coding RNA, 389 nt
Filed under: uncultured Phycisphaeraceae bacterium
Lineage: Bacteria; Pseudomonadati; Planctomycetota; Phycisphaerae; Phycisphaerales; Phycisphaeraceae
Description: contains 16S-23S intergenic spacer region
Source: RNAcentral
UCCGGUUUGACACCGGCAGUCCCGUUAGAGUCCCCGGCGCCCGAGGGCCCGCUGGCAACUAACGGUAGGGGUUUCGCUCGUUAAGGGACUUAACCCGACACUUCACAGCACGAGCUGACGACAGCCAUGCAGCACCUGUGCACGUUCCACUCAAAGAGCGUCACUUCUGUUUCUAGAAGCUAAUCCGUGCAUGUCAAACCCUGGUAAGGUUCUUCGCGUUGCUUCGAAUUAAGCCACAUGCUCCACCGCUUGUGUGAGCCCCCGUCAAUUCCUUUGAGUUUUAGCCUUGCGACCGUACUCCCCAGGCGGUGUACUAAAUGCUUUCGCGUCGGCCGUGCUGGUGUCAGAACCCUCACGACCCAGUACACAUCGUUUACGGCGUGGACUAC